This 95-nucleotide Y RNA is filed under the name Saimiri boliviensis boliviensis (Bolivian squirrel monkey). RNAcentral describes it as "Y RNA (ENSSBOG00000004818.1)". It matches the Rfam family "Y RNA". From Rfam's summary of the family: Y RNAs are components of the Ro ribonucleoprotein particle (Ro RNP), in association with Ro60 and La proteins. The Y RNAs and Ro60 and La proteins are well conserved, but the function of the Ro RNP is not known. In humans the RNA component can be one of four small RNAs -- hY1, hY3, hY4 and hY5. Lineage: Eukaryota; Metazoa; Chordata; Mammalia; Primates; Cebidae. The record is from Rfam by way of RNAcentral.
GGCUGGUCCAGAGGUAGUGUUCAUAGUCGGUUACGGAUCAGAUUUCUCAUUCUGCUCUUUCCUUCCUUCUCAAUACUACACUUGACCAGUCUUAA